ACUCAAAGGAAUUGACGGGGGCCCGCACAAGCAGUGGAGCAUGUGGUUUAAUUCGAUGCAACGCGAAGAACCUUACCCGGGUUUGACAUACAGAGGACGUUAUCAGAGAUGAUAAUUCCCGCAAGGGUCUUUGUACAGGUGCUGCAUGGCUGUCGUCAGCUCGUGCCGUGAGGUGUUGGGUUAAGUCCCGCAACGAGCGCAACCCUUAUCAUUAGUUGCCAACAUUUUAGGUGGGGACUCUAGUGAGACUGCCUGGGUUAACCAGGAGGAAGGUGAGGAUGACGUCAAGUCCGCAUGGCCUUUAUAUCCGGGGCUACACACGUGCUACAAUGGUCGGUACAGAAGGCAGCGAAACCGCGAGGUGGAGCAAAUCCCAAAAGCCGAUCCCAGUUCAGAUUGUAGUCUGCAACUCGACUACAUGAAGUUGGAAUUGCUAGUAAUGGCGUGUCAGCAACAACGCCGUGAAUACGUUCCCGGGCCUUGUACACACCGCCCGU
RNAcentral lists this ribosomal RNA (497 nucleotides) under uncultured bacterium. RNAcentral's name for it is "partial 16S ribosomal RNA". It matches the Rfam family "Bacterial small subunit ribosomal RNA", at positions 899 to 1397 of the family's 1533-position model. The record is from RNAcentral.